Molecule: long non-coding RNA, 947 nt
Organism: Erinaceus europaeus (western European hedgehog)
Lineage: Eukaryota; Metazoa; Chordata; Mammalia; Eulipotyphla; Erinaceidae
Exons: 2
Source: RefSeq, a predicted model, not a curated record
AUGUUGUGAAGGUUAAAGCCUCCUUAGCAACUGUUACAAUGGUUUUUACUGAAUUAGCAAUACCCUGAGGGGAUAACAUGGUGGGGAUCUGUCAGGCAAAACAAUGAUCAUUUAGACCAUAGUGUCAGCAAUGGAGCAGAGCAGGGGGUGGGGGGGGGGGGUGGGGGCUGGCAUCAAGACCGGACAUUUCUUUUUUUUUUUUACUUCUUCAAAUAUGCCAUUCCAUUCCCUCCUUGCCUCUAGAGUUUUUGAUGAGAAAUCUGAUGAAAGCCUCAUGGUUCUGCCUUUGUAUGUGACUUUCUUGCUUUCCCUGGCAGCCUGCAAUACUUUUUUUGUUCCUUGUCCCUGAUUUUGGACAAUUUUGCAGUGAUAUGUCUUGGUGUGUUUUGUUUUGAAUUCAAAAAUGUAGGUGUUCAUUUACCUUCUUGGAUUUCUAUAUUUUGAACAUUGCUGAAGUAUGGAAUAUACUUUCUGCCAAAAUUUCAUUGUAUGUGUUCUCUGCUCCUCUCUGCCUCUCUUCUUGAUGACAGAGGGGAGAUUUUUAUCCUGAGUCACCAGGCCAGUUCAGUGACCUUGAUUCACUAUAUAGUUUCUGUGGGACAACAGCACGGGGCACUCAGGAAGUCACAGUUGUAAACUGAUUUACCUAUUCUGGAUAUUUCAUAUAAAAGGAUGAUCUCAGGACCAAAAGAUAGUUCACUGGGUAGAGUGCACACAUACCCUGGUUUGAGCCCUUGCCAUCACAAUGGAGGAAGCACCUUGCAAAGAAGAAACUUCAUAAGCUGUUAAGUGACACAAUGGUACUUCUUUUUCUUUCACUCUAUGUCUUACUACCUAAAAAGAAAAAAAAAAAACAAAGAAAAGGCAAGUAUCCACUAGGAACAAUGGAAUUGCCCAGGUGUGAGACCGUCAGUACUAAAAUAAAAUAAAGCAUCUACUUUAUGAUA